This 135-nucleotide small nucleolar RNA is filed under the name Dasypus novemcinctus (nine-banded armadillo). Its description in RNAcentral is "Small nucleolar RNA SNORA42/SNORA80 family (ENSDNOG00000041780.1)". It matches the Rfam family "Small nucleolar RNA SNORA42/SNORA80 family". Rfam says of the family: The members of this family belong to the H/ACA class of snoRNAs that guide the sites of modification of uridines to pseudouridines. Human ACA42 (SNORA42) was cloned from HeLa cells by immunoprecipitation with anti-GAR1 antibody. Lineage: Eukaryota; Metazoa; Chordata; Mammalia; Cingulata; Dasypodidae. The record is from RNAcentral.
GCAUGAGUUUGGAUUUAUGGCAGGCCCGUCCCCCUGAGCCUGUCAUAGUGUCCCAUGCUAGAGCAAUCCGUGGCCCUGAACCAUUGCCUGGCCUCCUUGUCUAUGGGCCUUGGCACUGAAGCGGGCUGUACAGUG